ACUAUUAUUUAUAUUAGCCACAUGAGUUGAGAACACCUUAAAGAAAACCAAUUAAUAAUUUAAUUGAAAAAGUGACUAUGAAUAAUACAUGAAGAUGAUGAUGCUAGCAAUAACGCAAGUAAUGUGGCACUCACAACACAGAGAUGUCUCUGGAAAUGUCUCCAGGGACACAAGGACUCCAGGCCCCUAUGUCCUACCUGGGAGCAACCCGGAGCCCGUGAGCUAAAGACAGUAAGAAAAUGUUUACACUCCCCGAAAAUCUAAUUUUGCUCCUUUAUCUUAACUUUUAUUAACAGGGGACGACCUCAUAAUCUGGUGACAUCAUGAAUCUGGUGGGCCGACAGAUAAAUAUCUUCAAUAAAAGAAAAGCGAGAAUGCCAAAGAACCAGCUAUAAAGUAAUCUGGAAGGAUGUGGAGGUGCUGGGCAGAAGGCCCUGGGGGGAUCUGCAGGACACUACCAGCAUCCCAAGGGGCACACGGGGCAAUGUGCCCUCCGGCACCUCAGAGGCCUGACAAGUGGAACUGGGAGUAACCCUGGGUCCCUUUCCUUUAUCUUAAUCCAGCACCAGCUACAAACAUGCAUGAAGUCGCUAAUGCCAGCUUCAGAUUUGCGACUGAAUCAAAGUCAUCACUACAAGGUUGGUGUUUUUUUUUUUUUUUGGGGGGGGGUGGGGGGUGCAUGGAGAAGUGGACAAUAAGGAUGUAUUAAAGACAGAGACAAGGUGUGUGGGUGUGGGGAGGGGGGGCACUUCAAAGAAAGGAAGCUGGGAUGAAUCACUGCAUGCCAUGGAAAUACCAGGGCAAGUGGAUGUCGGAGUGUUUAACCAGAUUCUAAGCUGGAAACAUCUUCCCCAGCGGGCGAACCCUAGGACGAGGCAGUGACACGCAACCCUCAGCCUUUGAACCCAGACCUGGCAGCUUAGGAACGCGUCCCCCCCUUCCCCAGGCAUUCGCAGGCUCUGGCUGAAAAAGCGAGGUGGGGGUAGGGAUGAGAGGGCCCUGCGAAGAAACACAAUAAACAACUCAAAUAUGAACGGAAAUGACAUCAGCAAAGUGAAGGGCCUGUUUAUUGCAGAUCAAAACAAAACAAACUUCCAAACCUUUUGUGUAUACAAGAUAACUCUAUAAAAAGCCCUCCUAAAAUGUCACCAGGGUUGACACAUCAGCAUCCCAAGAAAACAGAUGACAGUUACCAAAGGGGGAGGGGGGAAAGGGAGGAGGAAGGGGGAUGAAGGAAAGAAGAUGGGAGGAGAUAGAAAACCAGAAGGGGCCAAAAACCCAGCUGACUAGUUCCCCCCUCUGCUGAUCCUUAAUAUUUAUUGGUGUUUAUAAUCUAAAAGCCAUGCUCUGUGUUUCACUUAAUACAAGGCCAGACAGUGCUGUCUAAUGAGGCAGCAUUACAAUCAGCUUGUAAUACUGAAUUUUUAAUGCUGCCAAGGAUUCUGUUACAUAAUAAUAUGAAAAACAGAAGCUGAAAGUGGGCUCGCAGUGACAGGACACUGGAGGUUCCAGGCAGGCAAGCAGCUCCAAGCCCGCCUUCCCUUCCCUCUCUCGCCCACCCCUGUCUCCCGAUCAGCUCUCCAUCCCUACACAGGAGGUCGGUAUGGAAACCAAGAGGAUUUCUUAGGAAAUCCACUCUUUUUAUUAUUAUUGCUAUUAUUAUAAGCUGUGAUCCAAAGUAUAUUUCAAAGAGUUUGAAUUCUAGCCUAUCUGGGGUUAGAAGCCUGCAGUGAAAAUUGGGGGAGGCUGAAAGACAAGGAAUACAGGAGUGGGGGAUAGCUUACUUUACGAAAGCCAAACAAUACAAAAAAAAAAAAAAUCACAGAGGGAAAAGUACUAAGAUGCUUGGGGGGGUGGGGGGGUGCUGAAGUCGGCCAACCAUAUUCGCAGCUGCUGCACGCAGUUUACAUUGGUGUAAUUUAAAGGCAUAUAUAUAGCCGCCGUUGCUCCUCUCUGUAAUACCCCAAGACUGUAAAUCUAUAACCACUGCAAUGAUUUAGUGAUUAAAAACAUGAUAACAUAUUGUGUAACUGCAAACCACAGAACCCCUGCCAACUCUCCUCGAAGAUAAAGAGAAAAAAAAAUACAGAAAAUGUGUUGCUUGCAGCGAUCUUCCUAAACCCAAAAGAUUUUAAUAAAAGAACCUAUAUAGUAGACGAAUCGGAAAAGGGUGAGUGAAUUCUAUGUGAAGCCAGCAAAGGGAGGGGGGGAAAGGGGAGCUUUAUGUGGGAUUCUUUUCCUUGUACUAACAAAUUACGACCUAAACAUGCCUUUUCUUUUCUCUCUCUCUCUCUCUCUCUCUUUUUUAAUAGUUUGUUGUAACUGGAAUGACUGGUCUUGUGUGCUGUAUUGCAUAUUCAAAGCAGCUCUGUAAUCGGAUCUGGAGACCCAACCUUAUUUGCCUGAACUCAAUAGGGUUUUUCUUCUUGCCCCCCCCCUCACGCCCCCCUUCUUGUUUUGUUUUGGAUUCGGUGUUGUGGGGUUUCUGUUCUUGCUGGGAGCAGACAGCAACCCAGGAAUAGGCUCUGGUGCCUUUAAGCUACAGAGCAAACACCUGAGAGGGGGAGGCACAAUUUGUAACCUGGCAGGAGGAGCCUAAAAUAUACACAAAAAAAUAAAAUCAAAGCAGCUGUAGGGGUUUUGGCCUCUGAGCAGCUGACCUGACCCCAUUCUGUAUAUUCUUUUAUUUCCCCAUUGCAGGAUUCCUGCACCUUGGGUCAGAUUCGAACUCAAUGUGACCCUGAGGAGAAGGCAGUCACCGAGCCCUGGAAAACUCUCCGCAUGUAAUGCGGGGGGAUGGGGGAGUAUAAGUGCAUCCACAUUCAGACUUCCCCAGUGUAGACACCCACGCACUAUGUACUUACACACACACAUACACACACACACACACACACACACACACACACACACACACACACACACACACACAUCUGUCAGGAAUGCCAGGCCAUGGGGCCAGCUCCAGCCCAGCUUUCUCAGUUAACACUAACCACAGCCUGAACUCUCCCUAAAGCCCCCCAAAAUCUUCAUAUCUAUAACUCUACCCAUAAACACAUGCAUGCACAGGCGAACACUCCUCCAGAGACUUUAUAUGUUUAAAAAGUCCACAGAUCUGAAUUGCCUCCUCUCUGGACCUGAGCAGGGCAGUUUAUUCAGAGAAAUCAAUAGGAAAGAGCAUUUGCAAAUAUUUAUAUAAGCCCUGUGCGUUUCAGCAUUAAGUAAUUAAAAACUAAAACUCAGGGAGGGGGAAGGGAGGGAUACACAGACAGAAGAAGGCUGCAGGCCUAGAGUGGGUUUUCCUGCCUACACCUCAUCUCCCCAAACCACAAUCCUUUCAAAACUGACUCCAUGUACACUUUUUACGAAAUCCUGUUCGUGCACCAUUUGCUAGACUAUUUCAAAAUCAUCUCCAAAUAUGGAUUUACCUACCACCAAGCUUUCAAGCCUGACUAUAAGAGUCUGUAUUCUCUCUCUCUCUCUCUCUCUCAAAUGCACACACAGCAAUUCUUACUUUUGACACUGCUUCAAUCUCUGGUGUAUUACUCUCUACUGUAUUCAUAUUCCUGAAUUAUUUGCACUAAAGAUACCCAACAUUAUACGAUGAGAAGAGGGCCCCCAAGGUGAUAAUUCAAUGAUCGAAUACCCACCCCCUACUCCCCCACCAAUACUUUCCACUCCCCUCAACCUACAGGAUACCUACACCUUGGGGGUUCAGUACCUGAAACCCACAUAUGUAAACAGAUUUUCCCCCUCAAAAAUGUACAGCAAAAUGAAGGAGUUUUUAAAUGAGCCACUAUCGACUGGACUUCCCCUAUAUUGUUCCGGAGGGCUGACACUAAAUUCUGUUUGUACUGCCUCUAAAUCUGCUCUAAGGAGCCAACCAAGGCAGUGGAGCACCCACGCUGCAGAUAUUGUAGAAAUUUACAGUAAAUGUAGGUACACGAUUGCAGCACGCUGCCCUAUUGAUUAUGCAGAUUGUGAUCAAUCUUCUCCCCUCUCCGUUUCCCAAGCCUCUUUCUGAAGACCUCCAAAUAAGUUGUUCUGUAACUAGCCAUUCUCCCAAAGUAGGGAGAAAAAAGUAAUUUUUU
Leopardus geoffroyi (Geoffroy's cat) is the source of this 4088-nucleotide long non-coding RNA. RefSeq lists it as uncharacterized. The transcript has 2 exons. Lineage: Eukaryota; Metazoa; Chordata; Mammalia; Carnivora; Felidae. The record is from RefSeq and is a predicted model, not a curated record.